GGGGCCGUAGCUCAGUUGGGAGAGCGCUUGAAUGGCAUUCAAGAGGUCGGGGGUUCGACUCCCCUCGGCUCCACCA
RNAcentral lists this transfer RNA (76 nucleotides) under Deltaproteobacteria bacterium GWA2_57_13. Its description in RNAcentral is "tRNA-Ala". It matches the Rfam family "tRNA". From Rfam's summary of the family: Transfer RNA (tRNA) molecules are approximately 80 nucleotides in length. Their secondary structure includes four short double-helical elements and three loops (D, anti-codon, and T loops). Further hydrogen bonds mediate the characteristic L-shaped molecular structure. tRNAs have two regions of fundamental functional importance: the anti-codon, which is responsible for specific mRNA codon recognition, and the 3' end, to which the tRNAs corresponding amino acid is attached (by aminoacyl-tRNA synthetases). tRNAs cope with the degeneracy of the genetic code in two manners: having more than one tRNA (with a specific anti-codon) for a particular amino acid; and 'wobble' base-pairing, i.e. permitting non-standard base-pairing at the 3rd anti-codon position. Lineage: Bacteria; Deltaproteobacteria. The record is from RNAcentral. RNAcentral also lists the same sequence under 4 other names.